This 473-nucleotide ribosomal RNA is filed under the name uncultured bacterium. Its description in RNAcentral is "bacterial SSU rRNA". It matches the Rfam family "Bacterial small subunit ribosomal RNA", at positions 19 to 518 of the family's 1533-position model. The record is from RNAcentral.
CUGGCUCAGAUUGAACGCUGGCGGCAGGCCUAAUACAUGCAAGUCGAACGGUAACAUAGGAAAAGCUUGCUUUCCUGAUGACGAGUGGCGGACGGGUGAGUAAAGUUGGGAAGCUACCUGAUAGAGGGGGACAACAGUUGGAAACGACUGCUAAUACCGCAUACAGCCUGAGGGUGAAAGCAGCAAUGCGCUAUCAGAUGCGCCCAAAUGGGAUUAGCUAGUAGGUGAGGUAAAGGCUCACCUAGGCGACGAUCUCUAGCUGGUCUGAGAGGAUGAUCAGCCACAUUGGGACUGAGACACGGCCCAGACUCCUACGGGAGGCAGCAGUAGGGAAUAUUGCACAAUGGAGGAAACUCUGAUGCAGCCAUGCCGCGUGUGUGAAGAAGGCCUUCGGGUUGUAAAGCACUUUCGGAGGGGAGGAGAAUGACGUUACCCUCAGAAGAAGCACCGGCUAACUCCGUGCCAGCCGCUGC